UGAGGUACGGCUCAGUGGUAGAGUGUAUGGUUAGCAUACACAAGGUCCUGGGUUCAAUCCCCAGUACCUCCG
This 72-nucleotide transfer RNA is filed under the name Camelus ferus (Wild Bactrian camel). It matches the Rfam family "tRNA". Rfam says of the family: Transfer RNA (tRNA) molecules are approximately 80 nucleotides in length. Their secondary structure includes four short double-helical elements and three loops (D, anti-codon, and T loops). Lineage: Eukaryota; Metazoa; Chordata; Mammalia; Artiodactyla; Camelidae. The record is from Rfam by way of RNAcentral.